RNAcentral lists this ribosomal RNA (279 nucleotides) under uncultured archaeon. RNAcentral's name for it is "partial 16S rRNA". It matches the Rfam family "Archaeal small subunit ribosomal RNA", at positions 1047 to 1325 of the family's 1478-position model. The record is from RNAcentral.
GAGACCCACGCCAACAGUUGCCAGCUCGUCCUCCGGGAUGGAGGGGACACUGUUGGGACCGCCUCUGCUAAAGAGGAGGAAGGAAUGGGCAACGGUAGGUCAGUAUGCCCCGAAUAUCCCGGGCUACACGCGAGCUACAAUGGUUGGUACAAUGGGUAUCUACCCCGAAAGGGGACGGAAAUCUCCUAACGCCAAUCUUAGUUCGGAUUGAGGGCUGCAACUCGCCCUCAUGAAGCUGGAAUCCGUAGUAAUCGCACAUCAACAGUGUGCGGUGAAUAC